This is a long non-coding RNA of Vitis vinifera (wine grape), 574 nucleotides long. RefSeq lists it as uncharacterized. Lineage: Eukaryota; Viridiplantae; Streptophyta; Magnoliopsida; Vitales; Vitaceae. The record is from RefSeq and is a predicted model, not a curated record. The transcript is spliced from 2 exons.
UAAGUCUGGACCAUCUGAAAAUGGCAGGCUAUCUCGCAGGAGCAGCUCUGGCUCUCUUGACUUAGUAGCUGAACAUCCCACUGGUGUCGAAGAAACUGGUUGGAACGGUCUUCGGAUGCCAGAAACAGACAAGGGCUUUGUAAAUAGCAAUGACAGGCCUAAAACAAAGAUGCUCGAGACUGUAAAUAAUAGAGAGCUUUAAGAUGGAGGCUCAACACAAGUUUGUAAAUAAUAACAAAGAUGGCCUGAACGUGGAGAAUCAAUUAGAAGAUGCGGAUGAUGAGUUUGAUUAGAGGUGUGCAGAAAUUCUUUUAUUCUCCAGGGAGGUUAAUUAACAGUGUCAUGAGUGGAAAUUGUAAAGAGUGAGGCAUAGGUGGGGGUUGACUGGAAACUGAAAUUAUGGGAUACUAAAUUGCUGGGGUUUUCAUGUUCUGUUGACUAUGUAAAUAACAGACUUAACAGACUUCAGAAUAUGUUCCGAAUAAUCAGUUGUAUUAUGUAAAUAAUAGCAUGACUUUAUAAACCCUUGGUUGCUUAGUCUUUUAUUCCAUUAAUUUAAUUUAAUUUGUUACCA